Oncorhynchus tshawytscha (Chinook salmon) is the source of this 399-nucleotide long non-coding RNA. The record is from Ensembl. Lineage: Eukaryota; Metazoa; Chordata; Actinopteri; Salmoniformes; Salmonidae.
ACCGUUAACAACACUUUAGGACGUUAUAGAAAUGAACUUACUAAAUGUCCCCGACACGUUUAUUGAAUUACAGACAGCUUUUACAUCCGCUAAACAAAUGAAAAAUAUUGUCCUCAACGUAUAUAUAUAUAUAUAUAUUUGUUUAAGUACUAAUGUUACCGUCCUCACUACUACAACAAAAACAUUUAAAUGAAAUACUGAACAAUUACAAAGGACUAGUUUUUCUGAGUAGCUUCAAAGUCUCUCCAAAAACAUUAUCAGCAAUGCAGGGUUUUUAUAUAUAUAUAUAUAUAGAUACACACGUCAUUGGAAUGACAGAGCUCUGCCGCUUUUUAAUAGCUGUUUAAAUGGUGGCGUUACGCCGUGGGGGAAGUCGGCGGGGGGGAAGUCGGCGGUGGG